RNAcentral lists this ribosomal RNA (443 nucleotides) under uncultured bacterium. Its description in RNAcentral is "SSU rRNA". It matches the Rfam family "Bacterial small subunit ribosomal RNA", at positions 26 to 518 of the family's 1533-position model. The record is from RNAcentral.
AGAACGAACGCUGGCGGCAGGCUUAACACAUGCAAGUCGAGCGCCCCGCAAGGGGAGCGGCAGACGGGUGAGUAACGCGUGGGAACAUACCCUCCGGUUCGGAAUAGCUCAGGGAAACUUGGAUUAAUACCGGAUACGGCCUAGCGGCGAAAGAUUCAUCGCCGGAGGAUUGGCCCGCGUCUGAUUAGCUAGUUGGUGGGGUAAUGGCCCACCAAGGCGACGAUCAGUAGCUGGUCUGAGAGGAUGAUCAGCCACAUUGGGACUGAGACACGGCCCAAACUCCUACGGGAGGCAGCAGUGGGGAAUAUUGGACAAUGGGCGCAAGCCUGAUCCAGCCAUGCCGCGUGAGUGAUGACGGCCUUAGGGUUGUAAAGCUCUUUCGCUAGGGACGAUAAUGACGGUACCUAGACAAGAAGCCCGGCUAACUUCGUGCCAGCAGCCGC